Molecule: ribosomal RNA, 250 nt
Filed under: uncultured prokaryote
Description: partial 16S ribosomal RNA
Rfam family: Bacterial small subunit ribosomal RNA
Source: RNAcentral
UACGGAAGGUCCGGGCGUUAUCCGGAUUUAUUGGGUUAAAGGGAGCGCAGGCGGAAGGUUAAGCGUGACGUGAAAUGUUCCUGCUCAACCGGUGAGUUGCGUCGCGAACUGGCUUUCUUGAGUGAGUACGACGGAGGCGGAAUUCGUGGUGUAGCGGUGAAAUGCUUAGAUAUCACGAAGAACGCCGAUUGCGAAGGCAGCCUCCGAGUCCUUAACUGACGCUAAUGCUCGAAAGUGCGGGUAUCGAACA